UACAAACAGGCUGAUGGAGAAAAGAGAGACUCUCUUGUCAUUAUUACUAGUGGCACGCCGCACGCAGGCAUCAUGAUUCAUGGGAGCUAGCAACCCUGGUGAGAUGGACGGGAGGGACCUGUCUGUCCUUCCUGGCUGGCUGGCUGGGCAUAAUUUCGGCGGCCUUGGAAUUUAUGAGGAUUCUGGUAGGGAGUGUAUUCGUCAAUUCGUGCCACUGCCGCUCUGGGCCCAUCAUCUUGUGUUUGGUUUGUGCAUCUCCCGGUGCUCUCAAACACGAAGCUGCGAGUCACUGUUACCAUGGAUGAUCGAGGCUUGUCGUCGUCGUCGCGGGUCCAUUCAUUGAUCGCGGAUUUAAAACCAAACAAUCCUGGUAGUUGUUUGUAGUUUUGCUAGACAAGGAUCCAUCAUCACUCGCUCACUCACUCAUAGAGGCCGUCAGGCCUGUCGCCCAGUAGUAGCGACGGGCGACGGUGGAGAUCGUGCGAGGCUGUACUACCUGUACGCCUCCAUCGUCGCCUCGCACCAUCAAUCCUGUGCGGUGCCAGAUCCUCCCCGGGUCUUGUCUUGUCGCAGGUGGAAGCCAUGUCCGCCGCGGACGCAGCCGGCGGCAAGGAGGCGGCGCCGGCGUGCGACUCCUGCACGGGCAUGCCGGCGGUGGUGUACUGCCGGGCCGACUCCGCGAGGCUGUGCCUGCCGUGCGACCGCCACGUGCACGGCGCCAACACCGUGUCCACUCGCCACGCCCGGGCGCCGCUCUGCGCCGGGUGCCGCGCAGCCGCUGCCGCUGCGGCCCGCCACGCGCGGCGGCUUCCUCUGCGCCAGCUGCCGCUUGGGGGAGGAGAAGGAUGAGCGGGACGGCGGUGGCGCCGCCGACAGUAGUAGCGACGACGGUGGCGCGGUGGAAGGGUACGCCGGGUGCCCCUCGGUCGCCGAUCUCGCGACCAUCCUGGGCGCCGGCUCCGCGUGGGAGGAGCCCCAGACGCUCCGCUUGGAGAGCCGGAGCUCCGGCGGCGAGCUGGCUGACGAGGUCAUCCGCCAGCUGGUGGAGCUCGCCAGGUCGGAGGCGGCGGCUCGCGCUGAGAUGGAGCAGCUUACUCCAUGGCCGUCGCCGGAGCUUGCUGCCAUUACUGGACAGUACGCCGACUUCGGGGCUCUCGACGCUGACACCGCCUGGCAUGAUGAUGCAGCAGCCAUCGCGGCAGCAGUAGUGCCUUCCACUGAGGAGGAGCAGCAAGCGUGGAUCGCGGCCGGCUGCGACGUCGGCGCGUGCCGGACGGAGGAGAAGGCGCGCGAGAACGACGCUGCUCUGGCCGAGCCGUGUCUGUCCUCGUUCGUGGAGAUGUCAGAGAUCUGCCCCGCCAGCGUCGUCGUCACCCUCAGCCACGGCGGGGACGAGGGCGUCGACAGCAGCGGCAAGACAGCCCCGCGGCCGCAGCUGGCCGCGCCGACGCCGGCGAAGGGCGGCUACGACGUGGCCUACCCCGACCGCGGCACGGUGAUCUCGCGCUACAAGGAGAAGCGGAAGAACAGGAGGUUCGACAAGCAGAUCCGGUACGAGUCGCGCAAGGCCCGCGCCGACGGCCGGAUGCGGAUCAAGGGGCGGUUCGCCAAGUCCGGCGAGGUCUGAGACGCGUGCGGGCGCUCACGCCAUGCCAACGGCAACGAGCUGGUAGGGGGACCGUGCGUGUGUUUCACGUGGGUGGUUAGGUUUGGUAUUUUGGUUGGUGUUGCAGCUCGCUGCUCGCACGUGUCGAUGCGUACUAGUCUACGUUGAUUAGAGACGGUUGUCUACUCUUUCCUCAUUCGUUUAAUAAAACACGGCUCCACCACCAAUGCAAGUUUCACCCCGAUCGAUUGGAAGCGUGUGUUUACGUGGAGAACUCGCUAAGUUAGAUGUCGUUUGGUAAUGUAAUAGAUAACCGAUAUUGUUAAAUUAUAUUUGUUUAGGUUUAAUUAUAAUUAAUAAUAUACUAGAAAUAGAUACCGGCUUAUUCGAACUUGUUACUGCCGGUAUUCGAGAGUGAAUCAUUACCAUUAUUAUUUAAGUUGUAUUUCGUGAAUCAAACGACACAUUAGUUUCUAGUCAAAUUUGUUAUUCA
Zea mays is the source of this 2099-nucleotide RNA transcript. It is a transcript of the gene named zinc finger protein CONSTANS-LIKE pseudogene, with no coding region annotated. The record is from RefSeq and is marked validated. NCBI's taxonomy places the organism in Eukaryota, Viridiplantae, Streptophyta, Magnoliopsida, Poales, Poaceae. The transcript is spliced from 3 exons.